This 1316-nucleotide ribosomal RNA is filed under the name Pseudarthrobacter oxydans. Its description in RNAcentral is "bacterial SSU rRNA". It matches the Rfam family "Bacterial small subunit ribosomal RNA", at positions 92 to 1418 of the family's 1533-position model. Lineage: Bacteria; Bacillati; Actinomycetota; Actinomycetes; Micrococcales; Micrococcaceae. The record is from RNAcentral.
UUAGUGGCGAACGGGUGAGUAACACGUGAGUAACCUGCCCUUAACUCUGGGAUAAGCCUGGGAAACUGGGUCUAAUACCGGAUAUGACUCCUCAUCGCAUGGUGGGGGGUGGAAAGCUUUAUUGUGGUUUUGGAUGGACUCGCGGCCUAUCAGCUUGUUGGUGAGGUAAUGGCUCACCAAGGCGACGACGGGUAGCCGGCCUGAGAGGGUGACCGGCCACACUGGGACUGAGACACGGCCCAGACUCCUACGGGAGGCAGCAGUGGGGAAUAUUGCACAAUGGGCGAAAGCCUGAUGCAGCGACGCCGCGUGAGGGAUGACGGCCUUCGGGUUGUAAACCUCUUUCAGUAGGGAAGAAGCGAAAGUGACGGUACCUGCAGAAGAAGCGCCGGCUAACUACGUGCCAGCAGCCGCGGUAAUACGUAGGGCGCAAGCGUUAUCCGGAAUUAUUGGGCGUAAAGAGCUCGUAGGCGGUUUGUCGCGUCUGCCGUGAAAGUCCGGGGCUCAACUCCGGAUCUGCGGUGGGUACGGGCAGACUAGAGUGAUGUAGGGGAGACUGGAAUUCCUGGUGUAGCGGUGAAAUGCGCAGAUAUCAGGAGGAACACCGAUGGCGAAGGCAGGUCUCUGGGCAUUAACUGACGCUGAGGAGCGAAAGCAUGGGGAGCGAACAGGAUUAGAUACCCUGGUAGUCCAUGCCGUAAACGUUGGGCACUAGGUGUGGGGGACAUUCCACGUUUUCCGCGCCGUAGCUAACGCAUUAAGUGCCCCGCCUGGGGAGUACGGCCGCAAGGCUAAAACUCAAAGGAAUUGACGGGGGCCCGCACAAGCGGCGGAGCAUGCGGAUUAAUUCGAUGCAACGCGAAGAACCUUACCAAGGCUUGACAUGAACCGGUAAUACCUGGAAACAGGUGCCCCGCUUGCGGUCGGUUUACAGGUGGUGCAUGGUUGUCGUCAGCUCGUGUCGUGAGAUGUUGGGUUAAGUCCCGCAACGAGCGCAACCCUCGUUCUAUGUUGCCAGCGCGUUAUGGCGGGGACUCAUAGGAGACUGCCGGGGUCAACUCGGAGGAAGGUGGGGACGACGUCAAAUCAUCAUGCCCCUUAUGUCUUGGGCUUCACGCAUGCUACAAUGGCCGGUACAAAGGGUUGCGAUACUGUGAGGUGGAGCUAAUCCCAAAAAGCCGGUCUCAGUUCGGAUUGGGGUCUGCAACUCGACCCCAUGAAGUCGGAGUCGCUAGUAAUCGCAGAUCAGCAACGCUGCGGUGAAUACGUUCCCGGGCCUUGUACACACCGCCCGUCAAGUCACGAAAGUUGGUAAC